RNAcentral lists this transfer RNA (72 nucleotides) under Ictidomys tridecemlineatus (thirteen-lined ground squirrel). RNAcentral describes it as "Spermophilus tridecemlineatus (thirteen-lined ground squirrel) tRNA". It matches the Rfam family "tRNA". Rfam says of the family: Transfer RNA (tRNA) molecules are approximately 80 nucleotides in length. Their secondary structure includes four short double-helical elements and three loops (D, anti-codon, and T loops). Lineage: Eukaryota; Metazoa; Chordata; Mammalia; Rodentia; Sciuridae. The record is from Rfam by way of RNAcentral.
GCGGGUGUAACUCAGUGGUAGAGUGUUUGCCUAGCAGGCACCAGGCCCUGGGUUCAAUACCCAGCACUGCCA